This 550-nucleotide long non-coding RNA is filed under the name Lathyrus oleraceus (garden pea). Its description in RNAcentral is "Pisum sativum (pea) long non-coding RNA (PSAT_LNC039302)". Lineage: Eukaryota; Viridiplantae; Streptophyta; Magnoliopsida; Fabales; Fabaceae. The record is from RNAcentral.
UGACUUCUUAGUCGAUUCAGAAUGCACACGGAGCCUACGUUAGUUGAGCUUGAGAACUUGCGUCCGAUCUUUUCUUCAGCAGUAUCAAUUUUUUGGAAAGAUCCUUAACAACAAGAAACUAUAAAUGGAAUGAUCCUUUCAUCAACUACCACUAAUGGUCAUCACCUAAUCCAACAGUACACCAACACCCUGAAAUACAUGCAGCACAUGAUACCCGAUAGUAAAAAUAAACCAAAUGUGAAACGAUAAAAAUUGGGAACUAAUAAAAUAAAACAUAAAACAAAAGAAAAAAUAAAAGAAAAAAGCAUAGUAAAACCUCCCCCACACUUGAACUAAACAUUAACCUCAAUGGUUUAGAACAGGAUAGAAUGAGGGUGACUCACAAUGCCCUACUGAGGGGGUUGGGGCGAAAAGUGCAACAUGCCCACAUGAAAUUCAAAUUUUCCAAACAAAUUUCAAAUCCGCAGGCCUGACACGGGUUGUGUCAGCUGACACGGACGGCCGUGUCAGGCUGCAGUUAUGCUUAUUUUUCCAACUUUUUCCAUAUGAG